RNAcentral lists this ribosomal RNA (253 nucleotides) under uncultured bacterium. RNAcentral's name for it is "partial 16S ribosomal RNA". It matches the Rfam family "Bacterial small subunit ribosomal RNA", at positions 524 to 776 of the family's 1533-position model. The record is from RNAcentral.
UACAGAGGGCCCAAGCGUUGUUCGGAUUCAUUGGGCGUAAAGGGUGUGUAGGUGGCCAACUAAGUCGGACGUGAAAUCCCUCAGCUUAACUGGGGAACUGCGUCCGAUACUGGAUGGCUUGAGUUUGGGAGAGGGAUGUAGAAUUCCAGGUGUAGCGGUGAAAUGCGUAGAUAUCUGGAGGAAUACCGGUGGCGAAGGCGGCAUCCUGGACCAACACUGACACUGAGGAGCGAAAGCCAGGGGAGCAAACGGG